This 74-nucleotide transfer RNA is filed under the name Caproiciproducens galactitolivorans. RNAcentral's name for it is "tRNA-Gly". It matches the Rfam family "tRNA". From Rfam's summary of the family: Transfer RNA (tRNA) molecules are approximately 80 nucleotides in length. Their secondary structure includes four short double-helical elements and three loops (D, anti-codon, and T loops). The record is from RNAcentral. Lineage: Bacteria; Bacillati; Bacillota; Clostridia; Eubacteriales; Acutalibacteraceae.
GCGGAAGUGGUUCAAUGGUAGAACAUCAGCUUCCCAAGCUGAUGACGCGGGUUCGAUUCCCGUCUCCCGCUCCA